AUUGAACGCUGGCGGCAGGCCUAACACAUGCAAGUCGAGCGAGCGGCGGACGGGUGAGUAAUGUAUGGGAAACUGCCCGAUGGAGGGGGAUAACUACUGGAAACGGUAGCUAAUACCGCAUACUAUCGGAUGAACCCAGAUGGGAUUAGCUAGUAGGUGGGGUAAAGGCUCACCUAGGCGACGAUCCCUAGCUGGUCUGAGAGGAUGAUCAGCCACACUGGAACUGAGACACGGCCCAGACUCCUACGGGAGGCAGCAGUGGGGAAUAUUGCACAAUGGGCGCAAGCCUGAUGCAGCCAUGCCGCGUGUAUGAAGAAGGCCUUAGGGUUGUAAAGUACUUUCAGCGGGGAGGCGUUACCCGCAGAAGAAGCACCGGCUAACUACGUGCCAGCCGCCGCGGUAAUAC
RNAcentral lists this ribosomal RNA (406 nucleotides) under uncultured bacterium. RNAcentral describes it as "partial 16S ribosomal RNA". It matches the Rfam family "Bacterial small subunit ribosomal RNA", at positions 30 to 526 of the family's 1533-position model. The record is from RNAcentral.